This 1323-nucleotide ribosomal RNA is filed under the name uncultured bacterium. RNAcentral describes it as "partial 16S ribosomal RNA". It matches the Rfam family "Bacterial small subunit ribosomal RNA", at positions 35 to 1383 of the family's 1533-position model. The record is from RNAcentral.
GCUGGCGGCGUGCCUAACACAUGCAAGUCGAACGGUUAAACCGCCCUCGGGCGGACAUACAGUGGCGAACGGGUGAGUAACACGUGACCAACCUGCCCCGCGCUCCGGGACAACCGCUGGAAACGGCGGCUAAUACCGGAUACUCCGCGGCCCCCGCAUGGGGGCGGCGGGAAAGCCCCGACGGCGCGGGAUGGGGUCGCGGCCCAUUAGGUAGUAGGCGGGGUAGAGGCCCACCUAGCCGACGAUGGGUAGCCGGACUGAGAGGUCGAUCGGCCACAUUGGGACUGAGAUACGGCCCAGACUCCUACGGGAGGCAGCAGUGGGGAAUUUUGCGCAAUGGGGGAAACCCUGACGCAGCAACGCCGCGUGCGGGACGAAGGCCCUCGGGUCGUAAACCGCUUUCAGCAGGGAAGACCACGACGGUACCUGCAGAAGAAGCUCCGGCUAACUACGUGCCAGCAGCCGCGGUAAUACGUAGGGGGCGAGCGUUAUCCGGAUUCAUUGGGCGUAAAGCGCGCGUAGGCGGCCGCCUAAGCGGAACCUCUAACCCCGGGGCUCAACCUCGGGCCGGGUUCCGGACUGGGCGGCUCGAGUGCGGUAGAGGAGAGCGGAAUUCCCGGUGUAGCGGUGGAAUGCGCAGAUAUCGGGAAGAACACCGAUGGCGAAGGCAGCUCUCUGGGCCGUCACUGACGCUGAGGCGCGAAAGCUGGGGGAGCGAACAGGAUUAGAUACCCUGGUAGUCCCAGCCGUAAACGAUGGAUACUAGGUGUGGGGGGGAUCCCCCCUCCGUGCCGCAGCCAACGCAUUAAGUAUCCCGCCUGGGGAGUACGGCCGCAAGGCUAAAACUCAAAGGAAUUGACGGGGGCCCGCACAAGCAGCGGAGCAUGUGGCUUAAUUCGAAGCAACGCGAAGAACCUUACCAGGGCUUGACAUGCGCCUGAAGCCGCGGAGACGCGGUGGCCGAGAGGAGGGCGCGCAGGUGGUGCAUGGCUGUCGUCAGCUCGUGUCGUGAGAUGUUGGGUUAAGUCCCGCAACGAGCGCAACCCCCGUCCCGUGUUGCCAGCAUUAGGUUGGGGACUCGCGGGAGACUGCCGGCGUCAAGCCGGAGGAAGGUGGGGACGACGUCAAGUCAUCAUGCCCCUUAUGCCCUGGGCUGCACACGUGCUACAAUGGCCGGUACAGAGGGUUGCCACCCCGCGAGGGGGAGCGGAUCCCGGAAAGCCGGCCCCAGUUCGGAUCGCAGGCUGCAACCCGCCUGCGUGAAGCCGGAGUUGCUAGUAAUCGCGGAUCAGCACGCCGCGGUGAAUACGUUCCCGGGCCUUG